UGCCACGGCAGGUUACGUGUGGAGUGUCAUUAGCAAGUUUUUUUGGGGCGGAUUUGGUACAACUGUCUACCUAGCUUGUGCGCAAGCUAGAUCGGCUUUGCUAGCAUCGCCUUCAAUUCAACCCCUCCCACACAUCCUCCGCCUCAGAAAACUAUAUAUGAUGCUGCUACAUCAAAUGGCCGGCAAUGACACUCUAGUAGCUUGAGCCCCUCCUCGUCAUCUGUAAUUUGGGGAAGAUUUUGCUUCGGUUGGUGGCUUGGUGCGCUAGUGAAGGGAGUAUAAAAACGGUUACCAUGGGUAUGUGCCUUUUUUAUUUGCAGUGAUCAGUCUAGCUAGCUAGGUAAAAAGGAGUGAUCAAUCUUGGGUAAAAAAAAUCUAUUUGGAGUAAUGAAUCUAGAUUAAAAAAAAAGAACAAGGGUGAAGUGAUGUACUUCCUCCGUCCAUCUGUAUUGGGCGUACUAAUUUUUACACGAAUACCUAUGAGCUGAGCUGGCAUGUUACCCUAUAAAAUUCGUAGCCUGGCCCUAGCACGCAAGAUUUUCUACCUAGCCUGGCC
Molecule: long non-coding RNA, 556 nt
Filed under: Brachypodium distachyon (stiff brome)
Lineage: Eukaryota; Viridiplantae; Streptophyta; Magnoliopsida; Poales; Poaceae
Description: long non-coding RNA (BDIS_LNC001110)
Source: RNAcentral